RNAcentral lists this ribosomal RNA (254 nucleotides) under uncultured bacterium. Its description in RNAcentral is "partial 16S ribosomal RNA". It matches the Rfam family "Bacterial small subunit ribosomal RNA", at positions 524 to 776 of the family's 1533-position model. The record is from RNAcentral.
UACGAAGGGGGCUAGCGUUGUUCGGAAUUACUGGGCGUAAAGGGCGCGUAGGCGGCCUCUGCAAGUCGACUGUGAAAUCUCCGGGCUUAACUCGGAACGGUCAACUGAUACUGUUUUGCUAGAGUACAGAAGGGGCAAUCGGAAUUCUUGGUGUAGCGGUGAAAUGCGUAGAUAUCAAGAGGAACACCUGAGGUGAAGACGGGUUGCUGGGCUGAUACUGACGCUGAGGCGCGAAAGCUAGGGUAGCAAACGGG